This 460-nucleotide ribosomal RNA is filed under the name uncultured bacterium. RNAcentral's name for it is "partial 16S ribosomal RNA". It matches the Rfam family "Bacterial small subunit ribosomal RNA", at positions 338 to 795 of the family's 1533-position model. The record is from RNAcentral.
CCUACGGGAGGCAGCAGUGAGGAAUAUUGGUCAAUGGGCGCUAGCCUGAACCAGCCAAGUCGCGUGAAGGAUGACUGCCCUAUGGGUUGUAAACUUCUUUUAUAUGGGAAUAAAGUGCAGUAUGUAUACUGCUUUGCAUGUACCUUAUGAAUAAGGAUCGGCUAACUCCGUGCCAGCAGCCGCGGUAAUACGGAGGAUCCGAGCGUUAUCCGGAUUUAUUGGGUUUAAAGGGAGCGUAGGCGGGUUGUUAAGUUAGGUGUGAAAGUUUGCGGCUCAACCGUAGAAUUGCAUUUGAUACUGGCAUCCUUGAGUACAGUAGAGGUAGGCGGAAUGCGUGGUGUAGCGGUGAAAUGCUUAGAUAUCACGAAGAACUCCGAUUGCGAAGGCAGCCUGCUGGACUGUAACUGACGCUGAGGAACGAAAGCGUGGGUAGCAAACAGGAUUAGAUACCCUUGUAGUC